UACGAAGGGGGCUAGCGUUGUUCGGAAUUACUGGGCGUAAAGCGUGCGCAGGCGGCUUUCCAAGUCAGUGGUGAAAGCCCGGAGCUCAACUCCGGAAAUGCCAUUGAAACUGUGAAGCUCGAGAACGAGAGAGGUGAGUGGAAUUCCCAGUGUAGAGGUGAAAUUCGUAGAUAUUGGGAAGAACACCAGUGGCGAAGGCGGCUCACUGGCUCGUAACUGACGCUGAGGUGCGAAAGCGUGGGGAGCAAACAGG
Molecule: ribosomal RNA, 253 nt
Filed under: uncultured bacterium
Lineage: Bacteria
Description: partial 16S ribosomal RNA
Rfam family: Bacterial small subunit ribosomal RNA
Source: RNAcentral